GUCAGGUUGCCUAAGAAUAGGCUGGACAAGUUUUAAAAGCAGCCCUAUAGUCCCAAGACCCAUCAUGAACCAUGAAGCUAGAGAGAUGAAUACACGCAUCACUUGCAUCUAAAAAGAGGACAGUGAAAUGAAGUAGAGCAAACUGCAGGUGUAGCAUG
Molecule: long non-coding RNA, 158 nt
Filed under: Capra hircus (goat)
Lineage: Eukaryota; Metazoa; Chordata; Mammalia; Artiodactyla; Bovidae
Description: lncRNA (ENSCHIG00010003033.1)
Source: RNAcentral